This 260-nucleotide ribosomal RNA is filed under the name uncultured bacterium. RNAcentral's name for it is "partial 16S ribosomal RNA". It matches the Rfam family "Bacterial small subunit ribosomal RNA", at positions 524 to 777 of the family's 1533-position model. The record is from RNAcentral.
CACGUAGGGCGCAAGCGUUGUCCGGAAUUAUUGGGCGUAAAGAGCUCGUAGGCGGUUUGUCGCGUCGACUGUGAAAACCCGAGGCUUAACCUCGGGCCUGCAGUCGAUACGGGCAGACUAGAGUUCGGUAGGGGAGACUGGAAUUCCUGGUGUAGCGGGUGAAAAUGCGCAGAUAUCAGGAGGAACACCGGUGGCGAAGGCGGGUCUCUGGGGCCGAUACUGACGCUGAGGAGCGAAAAGCGUGGGGGAGCGAAACAGGG